RNAcentral lists this ribosomal RNA (488 nucleotides) under uncultured bacterium. RNAcentral describes it as "partial 16S ribosomal RNA". It matches the Rfam family "Bacterial small subunit ribosomal RNA", at positions 28 to 507 of the family's 1533-position model. The record is from RNAcentral.
GACGAACGCUGGCGGCGUGCUUAACACAUGCAAGUCGAACGCGCCUGUCCUCUGGGUUUCUGGGGGGUGGGUGAGUGGCGAACGGGUGAGUAACACGUGAGUAACCUGCCCCCUUCUUCGGGAUAACGGUCUGAAAGGGCUGCUAAUACCGGGUAUUCACUGGUCUCCGCAUGGGGUCUGGUGGAAAGGUUUUUUUCUGGUGGGGGAUGGGCUCGCGGCCUAUCAGCUUGUUGGUGGGGUGAUGGCCCACCAAGGCUUUGACGGGUAGCCGGCCUGAGAGGGGGACCGGUCACAAUGGGACUGAGAUACGGCCCAGAAUGCUACGGGAGGCAGCAGUGGGGAAUAUUGCACAAUGGGCGCAAGCCUGAUGCAGCGACGCCGCGUGAGGGAUGGAGGCCUUCGGGUUGUGAACCUCUUUCGCCCGUGGUCAAGCCGCGACGUGGGUCGUGGUGAGGGUAGUGGGUAAAGAAGCGCCGGCUAACUACGUG